GGGAAUUUUGCGCAAUGGGGGAAACCCUGACGCAGCAACGCCGCGUGGAGGAUGAAAUCCCUUGGGAUGUAAACUCCUUUCGAUCGGGACGAUUAUGACGGUACCGGAAGAAGAAGCCCCGGCUAACUUCGUGCCAGCAGCCGCGGUAAUACGAGGGGGGCAAGCGUUGUUCGGAAUUAUUGGGCGUAAAGGGCGCGUAGGCGGUUUGACAAGUCUUGUGUGAAAUCUCUGGGCUCAACCCAGAGUCUGCACGGGAAACUGUCGGGCUUGAGUAUGGGAGAGGUGAGUGGAAUUUCCGGUGUAGCGGUGAAAUGCGUAGAUAUCGGAAGGAACACCUGUGGCGAAAGCGGCUCACUGGACCAUAACUGACGCUGAGGCGCGAAAGCUAGGGGAGCAAA
RNAcentral lists this ribosomal RNA (398 nucleotides) under uncultured bacterium. Its description in RNAcentral is "bacterial SSU rRNA". It matches the Rfam family "Bacterial small subunit ribosomal RNA", at positions 357 to 772 of the family's 1533-position model. The record is from RNAcentral.